RNAcentral lists this ribosomal RNA (402 nucleotides) under uncultured Ruegeria sp. RNAcentral describes it as "bacterial SSU rRNA". It matches the Rfam family "Bacterial small subunit ribosomal RNA", at positions 353 to 772 of the family's 1533-position model. The record is from RNAcentral. Lineage: Bacteria; Pseudomonadati; Pseudomonadota; Alphaproteobacteria; Rhodobacterales; Roseobacteraceae.
AGUGGGGAAUCUUGGACAAUGGGGGCAACCCUGAUCCAGCCAUGCCGCGUGAGUGAUGAAGGCCUUAGGGUCGUAAAGCUCUUUCGCCUGUGAAGAUAAUGACGGUAGCAGGUAAAGAAACCCCGGCUAACUCCGUGCCAGCAGCCGCGGUAAUACGGAGGGGGUUAGCGUUGUUCGGAAUUACUGGGCGUAAAGCGCACGUAGGCGGACUGGAAAGUUGGGGGUGAAAUCCCGGGGCUCAACCCCGGAACUGCCUCCAAAACUAUCAGUCUAGAGUUCGAGAGAGGUGAGUGGAAUUCCGAGUGUAGAGGUGAAAUUCGUAGAUAUUCGGAGGAACACCAGUGGCGAAGGCGGCUCACUGGCUCGAUACUGACGCUGAGGUGCGAAAGUGUGGGGAGCAAA